CAGGAGUCCGGGUGCAAAUCCCGGAUGGCGAGCCCGGCCGCUGACCUGCCGGGGUAAC
Molecule: non-coding RNA, 58 nt
Filed under: Cereibacter sphaeroides ATCC 17025
Lineage: Bacteria; Pseudomonadati; Pseudomonadota; Alphaproteobacteria; Rhodobacterales; Paracoccaceae
Description: Rhodobacter sphaeroides ATCC 17025 sul1 RNA
Rfam family: sul1 RNA
Source: Rfam by way of RNAcentral